AUUUUAAUAGCUUAUUUAUAAAGUGUGAUAUUGAAGAUAUUAAGAAGACGUGUAUGUUUUAAAAUA
This 66-nucleotide transfer RNA is filed under the name Cautires pahangensis. RNAcentral describes it as "tRNA-Phe". Lineage: Eukaryota; Metazoa; Arthropoda; Insecta; Coleoptera; Lycidae. The record is from RNAcentral.